UCCUACGGGAGGCAGCAGUAGGGAAUAUUGGUCAAUGGAUGGAAGUCUGAACCAGCCAUGCCGCGUGCAGGAAGAAGGCCUUCUGGGUUGUAAACUGCUUUUGCCAGGGGCUAAAAAGCUCAUGCGUGAGAAAUUGAAAGUACCUGGUGAAUAAGCCACGGCUAACUACGUGCCAGCAGCCGCGGUAAUACGUAGGUGGCAAGCGUUGUCCGGAUUUAUUGGGUUUAAAGGGUGCGUAGGCGGCUUUGUAAGUCAGUGGUGAAAUAUGGCAGCUUAACUGUCAGGGUGCCAUUGAUACUGCGGAGCUUGAGUACAGAUGAGGUAGGCGGAAUUGACGGUGUAGCGGUGAAAUGCUUAGAUAUCGUCAAGAACACCGAUAGCGAAGGCAGCUUACUAGGCUGUAACUGACGCUGAGGCACGAAAGUGUGGGGAUCAAACAGGAUUAGAUACCCUGGUAGUCCACACUGUAAACGUUGAUGACUCGCUGUUGGCGAUACACGGCCAGCGGCAGAGAGAAAUCGUUAAGUCAUCCACCUGGGGAGUACGCCGGCAACGGUGAAACUCAAAGGAAUUGACGG
This 578-nucleotide ribosomal RNA is filed under the name uncultured Bacteroidota bacterium. Its description in RNAcentral is "bacterial SSU rRNA". It matches the Rfam family "Bacterial small subunit ribosomal RNA", at positions 337 to 916 of the family's 1533-position model. Lineage: Bacteria; Pseudomonadati; Bacteroidota. The record is from RNAcentral.